RNAcentral lists this ribosomal RNA (477 nucleotides) under uncultured bacterium. RNAcentral's name for it is "partial 16S ribosomal RNA". It matches the Rfam family "Bacterial small subunit ribosomal RNA", at positions 29 to 507 of the family's 1533-position model. The record is from RNAcentral.
AUGAACGCUAGCGGCAGGCCUCACACAUGCAAGUCGAGGGAGAAGCCCUUUCGGGGGCAGAAACCGGCGCACGGGUGCGUAACGCGUAUGCAACCUACCUUUCACAGGGGGAUAGCCCGAAGAAAUUUGGAUUAAUACCCCAUAAUAUUAUUGGAUGGCAUCAUUUGAUAAUUAAAACUGCGGUGGUGAAAGAUGGGCAUGCGUCCUAUUAGCUAGUUGGAGUGGUAACGGCACCCCAAGGCUACGAUAGGUAGGGGUCCUGAGAGGGAGAUCCCCCACACUGGUACUGAGACAGGGACCAGACUCCUACGGGAGGCAGCAGUGAGGAAUAUUGGUCAAUGGUCGGAAGACUGAACCAGCCAUGCCGCGUGCAGGAAGAAUGCCUUAUGGGUUGUAAACUGCUUUUAUAUGGGAAGAAUAAGGCGUACGUGUACGUUGAUGACGGUACCAUAUGAAUAAGCAUCGGCUAACUCCGUG